This 497-nucleotide ribosomal RNA is filed under the name uncultured bacterium. Its description in RNAcentral is "partial 16S ribosomal RNA". It matches the Rfam family "Bacterial small subunit ribosomal RNA", at positions 28 to 507 of the family's 1533-position model. The record is from RNAcentral.
GAUGAACGCUGGCGGCGUGCCUAAUACAUGCAAGUCGAGCGAACGGACGAGAAGCUUGCUUCUCUGACGUUAGCGGCGGACGGGUGAGUAACACGUGGAUAACCUACCUAUAAGACUGGGAUAACUUCGGGAAACCGGAGCUAAUACCGGAUAAUAUUUUGAACCGCAUGGUUCAAAAGUGAAAGACGGUCUUGCUGUCACUUAUAGAUGGAUCCGCGCUGCAUUAGCUAGUUGGUAAGGUAACGGCUUACCAAGGCGACGAUGCAUAGCCGACCUGAGAGGGUGAUCGGCCACACUGGAACUGAGACACGGUCCAGACUCCUACGGGAGGCAGCAGUAGGGAAUCUUCCGCAAUGGGCGAAAGCCUGACGGAGCAACGCCGCGUGAGUGAUGAAGGUCUUCGGAUCGUAAAACUCUGUUAUUAGGGAAGAACAUAUGUGUAAGUAACUGUGCACAUCUUGACGGUACCUAAUCAGAAAGCCACGGCUAACUACGUG